UGCCAACUGGGUGUCUGCACUAAGUUCGGCAUCAAUAUGAUGACCUCCUGGGAGCAGGGGGCCACCAGGUUGCCUAAGGAUGAGUGAACUGGCCCAGAUCAGAAAGGGAGCAAGUCAGAACUCCCACACCGACAGGUAGCAGGACUGUGCCUGGGCA
Macaca fascicularis (crab-eating macaque) is the source of this 157-nucleotide unclassified non-coding RNA. It matches the Rfam family "Metazoan signal recognition particle RNA". From Rfam's summary of the family: The signal recognition particle (SRP) is a universally conserved ribonucleoprotein. It is involved in the co-translational targeting of proteins to membranes. The eukaryotic SRP consists of a 300-nucleotide 7S RNA and six proteins: SRPs 72, 68, 54, 19, 14, and 9. The record is from Ensembl. Lineage: Eukaryota; Metazoa; Chordata; Mammalia; Primates; Cercopithecidae.